Long non-coding RNA from Acipenser ruthenus (sterlet), 3462 nucleotides. RefSeq lists it as uncharacterized. The transcript is spliced from 3 exons. The record is from RefSeq and is a predicted model, not a curated record. Lineage: Eukaryota; Metazoa; Chordata; Actinopteri; Acipenseriformes; Acipenseridae.
CCCUACGGCUGUCUUGCGUGCGCACCUGUUUAAAAAUAUAUAUUUAUUAAUAAAACAUUUUCUAGUUCACAGGUCCACAUCAGUAUUUUAAAAAUAUUAUAUUUUCAUGUCUCUGCUGAAGAAUUGUUUUCCUACCUGUCAUAUUUUAAAACAGGCAGUUUCAAAAUAACCAAACAAAACAACGAUUUUAAACCAGAACUUUACUGAAAGAAGGAUUUAAUCCUUUGAAUUGUAGUUUUUAGUGAAGUAUGUGGAAAACUAUAACGCAGUGUGUAAUUAAAUAUGUCAACGCAACAUUAUUCAGCAGGAUUCAUUCGACUAUAUGAAGCAAAAAUUAGUUAGCACUCAUUUCAACCACUUGAAAGACGUUGGAUACGAAAUGAAAGCUAAAGCCUGGUCUGUCUCGCUGAGGUUUUCUAUUCAUUGUAAACAGCAGAGGUUACCGCAACCGCUCCGAGUUAAUGAGUUCCAACAAGUAUAUUUAAUUUAUUAUGUUAGUUUGUGGAAGAAGGAAGCCAAGAGAGGAGGCGUUUGCUAUUGUUUUGCAAAGACUACGAGGGACAGAGCUCGUUAAACCAGGUCUGUGAAGAUGAGAAGGUCUCCACAGUCUGGAGUCUGAUCUCUGAGAAGCUCAACAUACCUGUCAAUCAACCAGGACUCCUCUACAAAGGCAAGGCGCUGGCAGAUGAGCACAGACUGUCACACGACUCCAUCGCUCCCGAUUCCAAGCUGAACUCAUCUUGACGCCCCCAACCCAGAAAGUGUCACCCGAGCAAGAACAGCACUCCCUGUGUCACCCCUCAUCUCACGCAGUGAGAGUCUGGAGCACCUACACAGAACUCACUUGACUCCCGCAAAGCCAAGACAUCGAGGCUCUUGUGCUGCUUUGCUCCCCAGCGCCCGAGUGCUUGCUGGCAGUGCUGAGGCACGCUGACCCUGAGCUAGCAGCGCUAGUUUUCCCUAUUGAGGAAGGAUUGGCACUCCCGUUGGUUCAUCAGUAAUAAUGAAUUAGUGGAGACAGUACAGUGCUAGGGGGGAUGAAGGUUUACAUCAGAAUAGAAACUUUGCACACAGUCAAGCUGCUAGAAGUGGAAUAAUUUCUGCUGCGCAGCUUCAGCUUCCACAGCUUGACGAGGGACACAACAUAAAACACACAUGCUCCUAUGGAAGCCACACAGUUAAUAUACAAUAACAUUUUUUAAAAAAAAUAUAUAGCACCUUUCAUAGGGUGCCACCAUCACAAAUUGCUUUACAGGGGUAGGAUGUGAACUGUGCAUUAUAUACAGAGUCACUUACAAUAGGACACUGAUUUAACAUCUCAUCUGCAGGAUGGAGCGCAAGGAGGUAAAAUGACUUGCUCAGGAUCACACAGUGAGUCAGUCAGUGGGAGAUGAACCAGUGACGUUUUAGUUACAAGCCGUGGACUUUAACCAGACUACACCACACCUGGUAGCCCUGGUAUUUACCUCAGAGCCCUGCUGUGUAAUAGGGGUGUGUUUCAUAAUCCCUCCUCUCUUCUGUGGCAUGAAACUGCAACUGUGCAAACAACCAGGAUUCUCAACUCCAGCAGUGUGUGAUAUCUGACAAGGGAAGCUCAUCUCAUAUACAAGGUUAGACUGCUAAACUGUCACAAGGAAACAGGUGUUGCAGUGGGCUAGAUCAUUAGCAUGCUGUGCUGUGUUUCUUGGGGGACUGGGUUCAAAUCCAGGUGAGUUCUUCCUUUAUUUUCAAAGACUUGGUUAAUUUCCUAUAUAAGGUAAUGAAAAAUCAGGCUCUUCCAUGGAAAUGAGAUGGACUGGGCUCAAAUCCAGGCGAGUGCUUUGCUUUAUUUUCAAAGAAUGUGUUAAUUGACUAUACUGUAUAUAGUGUGAACCAACACUUUCCUGUGGGAGCUGGUGGUGUAAUGGGCUAAUCCCACAGCCUCUCCUUGAAGACGAUGGUUCGAAUCUGAGUCCCGAAGAAAAAGAAAAAAAAAAACAAUUAUUAAAUAGAAAUAUUGAGCUAUGUAAUGUUUUCAUACAGGAAGGGCCUGGUUUGCAGAUUGGACACUGGAGGGUAGCAUUGAGAUAAGAUAGAGUGAGAUGGAAAGUGAAAAUCAGAGAGAGAAGAUACAGUUUCUUAGGCAGCAAUAAAAUAGAACCUUGGAAUUUGAUAUUAUUGAUAAUAAUGUCCCGAGAGAGAGAGAGAGAGAGAGAGCAUGAGCAUUCUUACCAAAUAGUUUGAAACACAUUUGGAAAGCCCUAUGCAUUCUUCACAAUUCAGAAAUAAUAAAGAUGAUAUGCCCUGAAGCACUAAUGGUAGUUGUACAAAAGAGAUGCUAACUUAGCAAACAAAACAAUAUAACAGAUCCUUUAAAAUGAUGUGAAAACCUACAAAAACAAAUGUAAAGGAUGUAAAUAUAUAUUUUGAAUUAUAUAUGAAAAUACAGGGUGGAAAUCCAGUUAAGAAAAGACUAGCAAGUUCACUGAUGUCAUAUUUUACCAAAAUGUAAUGAAAUAAAACAUGUGGGAGAGAUCAGUACAAUAUUAUAGCAAACACAAAUUCACCUAUUAAUUAAAAAAAUAAUAAAAUUAAAAGACAUACCUUGAAUGACUUGUAGGUUUAGAAGCACUCAAAUACAGAAAUAAAAGGAGAACAAACGGUACAGGGGACGCGGAGUGGAGAAAUAGCAGCGCCUGCACCGCCUACAUUCCUAAACAUGGAUAGUAUUUCAGACACCGCUGCGCUUGUAAAAUGGCCUAAUGCUGCCAUCUUGUGGUCAUUUAAUAGAACUGCUGGUUCUAGCAAACCAACAUUUCGUUUUUAAAUCUGGACAGCUCAGCAUCCCUUUGAAAUGACUCAGAUUAACCUGGACCCCCCCCCGUUCAAAUAUAAAGACAUUGCUGAAAUAUAUAACACAAAUAAUAAAGCUCCUACCAUUCUUCUAUCGGUUUAAAUGUUCUUGAAUUGCUUUUUAAAAUCAAUGUCACUGAUUUUGCAUUCACUUGGUUUAAGAGUUCUGUUGAUCGUAAUCUGCAAAACAAAAGCAAACCGCUCCUCGUUUGGCUUUCUUCUUCCACAAACCAACACAUUUAAUGAAAUCCAUCUGUUUCAGAUUGAGACGCGCUCCCGGGUGAGCUCAUUAAUUUAGCGUGGCUUUGUCGAGCGGGUUACAAUGGGCAAAGUAGGCAGUGAACUUUAUGAAGAUGGGGAGAAUGUAGCUCUCUCCGUUCCUUAUCCAAUGCUGCCAUCGUGUGGCCUUUUAGUAGAACUGAAAGUUUUAAUAAACUGAUUUUCUUUUCUUUUUUUGUUUUAUUUGAACAUAACUCAGUUGCUCCUUGACUCAGAGUAACCUUACCCCCUAUACAAAAAUAAAGACAUUUCUAAUACAUUCUUAAAAUACAUCAAAAAAUAAUAUUUACACGAUAACCAAGAAAGUACAAUGUAUAAAUAAUAAAGUCAUUGCUGAAUUCACUACCUGUA